UACGGAAGGGGAAAGCGUUGUUCGGAAUCAUUGGGCGUAAAGGGCGCGCAGGUGGUUCUGUAUGUCUGCCGUGAAAGCAUACAGCUCAACUGUAUUGUGUCGGUAGAAACUGCAGGACUUGAGGCUGGGAGGGGCUGGUGGAAUUCCCUGUGUAGCGGUGAAAUGCGUAGAGAUGGGGGAGAACACUCGUGGCGAAGGCGGCCAGCUAGACCAGUUCUGACACUGAGGCGCGACAGCGUGGGGAGCAAACAGG
This 253-nucleotide ribosomal RNA is filed under the name uncultured bacterium. RNAcentral's name for it is "partial 16S ribosomal RNA". It matches the Rfam family "Bacterial small subunit ribosomal RNA", at positions 524 to 776 of the family's 1533-position model. The record is from RNAcentral.